This 303-nucleotide ribosomal RNA is filed under the name uncultured bacterium. RNAcentral describes it as "bacterial SSU rRNA". It matches the Rfam family "Bacterial small subunit ribosomal RNA", at positions 355 to 672 of the family's 1533-position model. The record is from RNAcentral.
UGGGGAAUAUUGGGCAAUGGGCGCAAGCCUGACCCAGCAACGCCGCGUGAAGGAAGAAGGCUUUCGGGUUGUAAACUUCUUUUAUCAGGGACGAAGAAAGUGACGGUACCUGAUGAAUAAGCCACGGCUAACUACGUGCCAGCAGCCGCGGUAAUACGUAGGUGGCAAGCGUUAUCCGGAUUUACUGGGUGUAAAGGGCGUGUAGGCGGGCUUGCAAGUCAGAUGUGAAAUUCCAGGGCUCAACCCUGGAACUGCAUUUGAAACUGUAGGUCUUGAGUGCUGGAGAGGCAAUCGGAAUUCCGU